Molecule: non-coding RNA, 30 nt
Filed under: Mus musculus (house mouse)
Lineage: Eukaryota; Metazoa; Chordata; Mammalia; Rodentia; Muridae
Source: RNAcentral
UGUUAAUUCUAUUGAUCUGGUGCAGGAGAU